RNAcentral lists this ribosomal RNA (283 nucleotides) under uncultured bacterium. RNAcentral's name for it is "partial 16S ribosomal RNA". The stretch from base 66 to 283 matches the Rfam family "Bacterial small subunit ribosomal RNA", at positions 567 to 784 of the family's 1533-position model. The record is from RNAcentral.
CCUAUCCCCCUGUGUGCCCUUGCCUCCCCACGACUUAUCUAAUCCUGUUCGCUCCCCACGCUUUCGAGCGCAGGCGGUUUGAUAAGUCUGAAGUUAAAGGCUGUGGCUCAACCAUAGUUCGCUUUGGAAACUGUCAAACUUGAGUGCAGAAGGGGAGAGUGGAAUUCCAUGUGUAGCGGUGAAAUGCGUAGAUAUAUGGAGGAACACCGGUGGCGAAAGCGGCUCUCUGGUCUGUAACUGACGCUGAGGCUCGAAAGCGUGGGGAGCGAACAGGAUUUAGAUA